This 1108-nucleotide long non-coding RNA is filed under the name Equus asinus (donkey). RNAcentral describes it as "lncRNA (ENSEASG00005033775.1)". Lineage: Eukaryota; Metazoa; Chordata; Mammalia; Perissodactyla; Equidae. The record is from RNAcentral.
GGGCUUCAGUUCUACUGAGGCACCAUUUUUCUGGAAUGGCUUCUAUUGACUCAGAACCAACAUUCGAAUGAAAAGACUACUAUUUCCAUCAGAAAACAGAGGUUCGAGAGCCAGCCCUGGUUGCCUAGUGGUUAGAGUUGAGCACUUACCGCCUGGGCAGCUGGGGUCCCAUUCCUGGGAUCCACACCACUUGCCUGUCAGUUGCCAGGCUGUGGCGGUGGCUCACAUGGAGGAACUAGAACAACUUACGACUAGGAUAUACAACCAUGCACUGGGGCUUUGGGGAGGAACAAAAAAGGAAAAAAAAUAGGAAGAUUGGCAACAGAUAUUAGCUCAGGGCAAAUCUUUAAAAAAAAAAAGCAGGUAGGAAAACUCCCACUCGGGUGUCAGGAGGCUUGUGUUCUAAUCCUGCCUCUGCUCUUCCCUGGCCUGGCACAAGUCCCCUCCCCUCUUUGAUUCUGGUUCCCUAUCUGUAAAAAGCAAGAAUUAGGCUCUAUGCUCCCCUCUCUCCUAGCCCUGCCAUGCCGUCAUCACUCUAACUCUCUCCUUGGAGAACGGAGGAAGGACAUUGGCUACAAAAAAGCCUUCUCGUCAUGGCUAAGAAAGCUCAGUGCCUAAAAAAUCGACAAGGGAGUGCAAUACAGGGCAGAGCCGAGAAAUGGAAUUUUGCCUUUGAAUUGUCUCGAGUUGGAUGAUUUCUCUCUCUGCCUGCCUUUGAUACACUCUUGUUCACUGCUCUGCUGUGAUGAAACUUUCUGUGUCAUGGGUGGUUCCAGCCCCUUCGAUCCAUUCAGCUGAUGAUAUUUCCUGAUGUUUCAAAGGCCAAGAGUAUGGGAUGAUGGAGUAUGGUAGAUUUACCUUCUCUCUUCUUUCCCCACCCACCUGGCUCUUCAGCCUCCUCUCCUGUGGAAUCCCUAUUUUGCGUUGUUCCUCAAGGUCCUGGGAUGACAGCAAAUCCCAACUCUGGCUACUGCCCAGGAUAUGGGAGCCCCAGCUCCUGGCUUCCUGGAGAAGCUGGAGAACGGAAAGCCUUCUGUGGUCUCUUGGGGACAUCACCCCCCCUGGUGGAACGAAGAGGAACUUUCCCGGCUUCGGAAAAGCUGGGCAG